RNAcentral lists this non-coding RNA (68 nucleotides) under Coccidioides immitis RS. The record is from RNAcentral. Lineage: Eukaryota; Fungi; Ascomycota; Eurotiomycetes; Onygenales; Onygenaceae.
CCUAGGCAUGGCUUGCACCUCUACAUGAUGCCUGGGACUAGUAGCCUGUUUGGUGAAGCCAAGCAAGC